RNAcentral lists this long non-coding RNA (414 nucleotides) under Citrus sinensis (sweet orange). RNAcentral's name for it is "long non-coding RNA (CSIN_LNC005590)". Lineage: Eukaryota; Viridiplantae; Streptophyta; Magnoliopsida; Sapindales; Rutaceae. The record is from RNAcentral.
AUCUCAUCAAACUAAACGUUCCUAUCAACUUGUCAUUGCUAUUGAAUCACUGCGACGUCCCCAGUGCUAAUGAAUUCAAGUGCGCUUAAUAUAUAAUUAAUUAAGCUCAUCCAUCGGUGACUCUACUUUGUCCCAUCCCUGGUACACGUGUUUGGUUUUGCAACGCAUUCUUGUAAUAAUUGUCUGAGCAUUUGCAAUUGUUUUUUCGUGGAGUGCAAGGAAGGCUGAAUUCUUCGCUCUUGGAGAUUUAUUAUUAAUUACUGUUUGAAGAAAAUAAUAAUGGGAGGAAGCUCCUCACAUUUUUCUUGACGUACGUCUUAAUUUGGUCUUUCCCAUUGGAAUGGAAGAUGUAAUAGAAUUCUGUUUUGUUUCAACUAAAUUAAUGAAUGGAAAUUUUAUAUAGCGUUGUUCUUU